Molecule: unclassified non-coding RNA, 294 nt
Filed under: Hevea brasiliensis (rubber tree)
Lineage: Eukaryota; Viridiplantae; Streptophyta; Magnoliopsida; Malpighiales; Euphorbiaceae
Source: RNAcentral
CUCGAAGCAUUUCCAUUUCUUAUAUUCUGCUUAUAUGGAUUGCCGGUGACCGUAUCUGUCUCCAAGGAGUAAACUUUUGUAAGCCCCAUGGCGUGUCCGUUUGAAGUUGUGGUAAUGCUCUGGGAAAGGUAAAUGCAAUCUGCUUUCCAGGAGAGGGAACUUUAUAAAUCCUCUGUAGCUAUGUAGAAAGAACUUUCUAAAAUCAUUAAGACAAACGGUUAUUCUAUAUUUGUUCUCUUUUUAAUUUUGAACAGUUGAGAAUUUGAGAUUCACUACUUGUGUUGUGAACGAGGG